This 487-nucleotide ribosomal RNA is filed under the name uncultured Pelagibacterales bacterium. Its description in RNAcentral is "bacterial SSU rRNA". It matches the Rfam family "Bacterial small subunit ribosomal RNA", at positions 90 to 611 of the family's 1533-position model. Lineage: Bacteria; Pseudomonadati; Pseudomonadota; Alphaproteobacteria; Candidatus Pelagibacterales. The record is from RNAcentral.
ACUUAGUGGCAGACGGGUGAGUAACAUGUGGGUAUCUACCCUUUGGCCUGGAAUAACACGAGGAAACUUGUGCUAAUACCGGAUAAGUCUUUACGGAGAAAGCUUUAUGCACCAUUGGAUGAGCCCGCACUUGAUUAGUUUGUUGGUAGGGUAAUGGCCUACCAAGACUAUGAUCAAUAGCUGAUUUGAGAGGAUGAUCAGCCACAUUGGGACUGAGACACGGCCCAAACUCCUACGGGAGGCAGCAGUGGGGAAUCUUGCACAAUGGAGGAAACUCUGAUGCAGCGAUGCCGCGUGAGUGAAGAAGGCCUUUGGGUUGUAAAGCUCUUUCGUCGGGGAAGAAAAUGACUGUACCCGAAUAAGAAGGUCCGGCUAACUUCGUGCCAGCAGCCGCGGUAAUACGAAGGGACCUAGCGUAGUUCGGAAUUACUGGGCUUAAAGAGUUCGUAGGUGGUUGAAAAAGUUGGUGGUGAAAUCCCAGAGCUUA